RNAcentral lists this ribosomal RNA (491 nucleotides) under uncultured bacterium. Its description in RNAcentral is "partial 16S ribosomal RNA". It matches the Rfam family "Bacterial small subunit ribosomal RNA", at positions 29 to 506 of the family's 1533-position model. The record is from RNAcentral.
AGUGAACGCUGGCGGUAGGCCUAACACAUGCAAGUCGAACGGCAGCACAGUAAGAGCUUGCUCUUACGGGUGGCGAGUGGUGGACGGGUGAGGAAUACAUCGGAAUCUACUUUUUCGUGGGGGAUAACGUAGGGAAACUUACGCUAAUACCGCAUACGACCUACGGGUGAAAGCAGGGGAUCUUCGGACCUUGCGCGAUUGAAUGAGCCGAUGUCGGAUUAGCUAGUUGGCGGGGUAAAGGCCCACCAAGGCGACGAUCCGUAGCUGGUCUGAGAGGAUGAUCAGCCACACUGGAACUGAGACACGGUCCAGACUCCUACGGGAGGCAGCAGUGGGGAAUAUUGGACAAUGGGCGCAAGCCUGAUCCAGCCAUACCGCGUGGGUGAAGAAGGCCUUCGGGUUGUAAAGCCCUUCUGUUGGGAAAGAAAAGCAGCAGGUUAAUACCCCGCUGUUCUGACGGUACCCAAAGAAUAAGCACCGGCUAACUUCGU